CGGACUGUCUCUGCUGGAAACUGGAACAAGACAUUUUUAGAGGGUAGGUGAAAAAGCAGGGAUCAUCCAACUCCAGAGCAUCUGGCAGGCACCAUGGCACCUGAUCAGUGUCAUAAGCAUUGAAGAUGCUUGGUGAAGGGUUGACACUUACUUACUGGUGCCAUGGCCUCAAGUUGCUCUGCUGCCUCGCUCAUGUCAAACCUCUCGAUCUCAGAGUUGACUCUGUGUAGCUCCUCUGGCGA
Long non-coding RNA from Thunnus maccoyii (southern bluefin tuna), 242 nucleotides. RefSeq lists it as uncharacterized. NCBI's taxonomy places the organism in Eukaryota, Metazoa, Chordata, Actinopteri, Scombriformes, Scombridae. The transcript has 4 exons. The record is from RefSeq and is a predicted model, not a curated record.